Molecule: ribosomal RNA, 984 nt
Filed under: Triticum aestivum (bread wheat)
Lineage: Eukaryota; Viridiplantae; Streptophyta; Magnoliopsida; Poales; Poaceae
Description: partial small subunit ribosomal RNA
Source: RNAcentral
AUGGUUGUGGAGUGCCUCACUAAAAUGAUCAAGAAUGCCCAGAACAAUUAUCUUAUUGUUGGGUUAGCUUCGGAUCUAAUUCUACAUGGAGUUGCAGUACUUCAAUACACUGACGACACAAUUAUCUGUCUAGAGCAUGAUAUUGAUAAAGCUGUUAAUCUUAAACUCCUGUUGUACAUGUUUGAAAUGAUGUCUGGCCUCAAGGUUAAUUUUCACAAGAGUGAGAUAUUGACCGUUGGGGGGGGGGAUGCCCAGACAACCAAGGCUUAUGCUGAGCUUUUCAAAUGUGAUAUAGGCCAAUUCCCUCUUAAGUACCUGGGCAUGCCGGUGAGCUACACGGCCUUGAGAAAUUCUGACUGGGAUUUCAUUGUUGAUAAAUAUCUCCUUAGAUUCGAUGCCUGGGUUGGUAAUGCUGCCUCUAUGGGAGGGAGACAUACUCUCUUAGACUCGAUUGUUACUCAGCUCUCUCUUUACCACAUGUCUAUGUGGUUGAUGAACAAAUCUUUUGUGGAAAAAUUGGAUAAACAUAGAAGGAGAUUCUUCUGGCAGGGGUGUAGUAAGAAAAGGAGAUAUCACCUGAUCAGAGGGAGUAGGAUCUGUAGAUCUAAAGACAAAGGGGGGCUGGGUAUUAAAGACUUGCGCAAGCAGAAUAUUAGCUUGAUGCUCAAGUGGUGGUGGAAGUUAGAUACCCAGAAUGGAAUCUGGCAAGAUAUUGUCUGGGCUAGAUAUAUUCGCAACCAAUCUGUUGCAACUGUUAGUUCUCGUUUCUCUGACUCGCCCUGUUGGAAAAACUUGUUGAAAAUCAAAGACCUGUACAUGAUAGGCAAGAAACUUCAGGUAGGGGCAGGCAACUUAACCAGGUUGUGGAAAGAUUCUAUUAAUGGUUUAACUCCUUUCCAAGCUCAAUUUCCAAGCUUGUUUGAUAUUUGUGUUGACCAGGAUUGUACUCUAGAUAAACUGAAUUCCAUAACCUGUUCUAGCUUC